UUACGGCCAUAUCAUUUUGAAACACCGGUUACCAUAAGUUCACCAAAGUUAAGCAACAAUGAGUCUGGUCAGUAGCUAGAUGGUUGUCUGUUUGGGAAUACCAGGUGCUAUA
Acanthosepion pharaonis is the source of this 112-nucleotide non-coding RNA. The record is from the annotation of a GenBank genome assembly. Lineage: Eukaryota; Metazoa; Mollusca; Cephalopoda; Sepiida; Sepiidae.